Electrophorus electricus (electric eel) is the source of this 93-nucleotide small nucleolar RNA. Lineage: Eukaryota; Metazoa; Chordata; Actinopteri; Gymnotiformes; Gymnotidae. The record is from Ensembl.
GUUGUGGUGAUGAAAAACAUGGACACCAGCGUCAGGCAUGGCGCCCGAAAAGCAUGAGGAAAUCUCCCAUGCUGCCUUCCUUCUGAACACACC